RNAcentral lists this non-coding RNA (453 nucleotides) under Pan troglodytes (chimpanzee). Lineage: Eukaryota; Metazoa; Chordata; Mammalia; Primates; Hominidae. The record is from RNAcentral.
GUGGCUUCGCGACUGCGGAAGGUUGCCCGGGCUGGCGCCGCUGGGCAGAGCCGGUGCGACGUUUCCCUUUCCAACUUUGUUCUUCCGGCCUUGCUGUCUGCCUCCCCGGCUGAUUGGAUUCGUUACUGCUUUGCAACGCGCACCUAACUCCAGCAGCAGGUAGUCCCUGAGGAGCGGGGGCAGUGGCAGCCGGGUGGCACCCUGCCGGCAGCGGCUUCCCAACUGAGCGCGCACAGCUAGUCGGGCCAGGUGCUGCAGCCGCCUUGGCUGGUUCACCAUGCACAGGGCCGAGCUGUAGAAGGCUUCGUGCUCCUAGGCCAGGAGUGAAAGAAGGGGCCCUCCUGCUGCUCCCUCCAUGAGGCUGGUCCUGAAGGAAUAGGCCUGUGGCUCGUCCCUCCUCCCCAUCUCGGCCCUGAGGCAGACAUACCUUCCACAGCUCUGGGAGCACCGCCU